Small nuclear RNA from Suncus etruscus (white-toothed pygmy shrew), 102 nucleotides. NCBI's taxonomy places the organism in Eukaryota, Metazoa, Chordata, Mammalia, Eulipotyphla, Soricidae. The record is from RefSeq and is a predicted model, not a curated record.
GAAAUUAUGCAGCACAUAUACUAAAACUGGAAUAAUACAGAGAAGAUUAACAUGGCCCCUAUGCAAGGAAACUAUGAUGAGGGAAUUUGGGACCAAAGUCAU